Non-coding RNA from Trichonephila clavata, 77 nucleotides. The record is from the annotation of a GenBank genome assembly. Lineage: Eukaryota; Metazoa; Arthropoda; Arachnida; Araneae; Nephilidae.
GUCCCUGCAGCGCAAUCGACAGCGCGUUGGACUUCUAAUCCGAAGAUCGUGGUUUCGUAUCCCACCAGGGUUAGACU